GUUUUAAUAAUUUAAAAAAAAUACUGGUCUUGUAAACCAACAUUAAGUUAUAUCUUUUAAAACA
This 64-nucleotide transfer RNA is filed under the name Cleridae sp. 3 KM-2017. Its description in RNAcentral is "tRNA-Thr". The record is from RNAcentral. Lineage: Eukaryota; Metazoa; Arthropoda; Insecta; Coleoptera; Cleridae.